RNAcentral lists this ribosomal RNA (164 nucleotides) under uncultured bacterium. Its description in RNAcentral is "partial 16S rRNA". It matches the Rfam family "Bacterial small subunit ribosomal RNA", at positions 355 to 511 of the family's 1533-position model. The record is from RNAcentral.
UAGGGAAUCUUCCACAAUGGGCGCAAGCCUGAUGGAGCAGCACCGCGUGAGUGAAGAAGGGUUUCGGCUCGUAAAGCUCUGUUGUUAAAGAAGAACAUGUAUGAGAGUAACUGUUCAUACGUUGACGGUAUUUAACCAGAAAGUCACGGCUAACUACGUGCCAG